AUUGAGUUGAUUACGAUGG
Molecule: microRNA, 19 nt
Filed under: Tribolium castaneum (red flour beetle)
Lineage: Eukaryota; Metazoa; Arthropoda; Insecta; Coleoptera; Tenebrionidae
Description: tca-miR-3895-5p
Source: miRBase by way of RNAcentral